GUCUCUUCCUUCCUAGGCCUACCUCUGUUGGUGCUUUUGUCUUCCAACCUCCCUAUGUAGUAAGACCAGCCAAGCCCACAUGCCCACUGGGAGCCCUGAAACCAGAUCUGGUUUUCUGUCUUACCUGAACAGGUUCCCAGAACCCACACCAGGCCUCUGAAUCAGUCUCUGAGAAUCUGAUUGAUUUAAAGCCACUUGGUUGCUUCCAUUGCACUACCUGGGUUGCGAUCCCCUCAAUUGAUUUAGUAAAAAGAAAACUUAGCGGCCGGGUGCGGUGGCUCACACCUGUAAUCCCAGCACUUUGGGAGGCUGAGGCGGGUGGAUCACCUGAGGUCGAGAGUUCCAGACCAGCCUGACCAACAUGAAGAAAUCCCGUCUCUACUAAAAAUACAAAAUUAGCCGGGCGUGAUGGCGCAUGCCUGUAAUCCCAGCUACUUGGAGGCUGAGGCAGGAGAAUUGCUUGAACCUGGGAAGCGGAGGUUGUGGUGAGCCGAGAUCAUGCCAUUGCACUCCAGCCUGGACAACAAGAGUGAAACUCCAUCUCAAAAAAAAAAAAAGAAAAGAAAAGAAAAGAAAGAAAACUCAGCUAGGAAUUAGAAACAUCAUUUGUCCUCUUGGCCUGUUCAGCUGGUGACUGUAGUCCCAGAUGUCUAUGGAUUCCUGCGGGUCACCUCUCCUUUUCCUGCUGCCAUGCCUCCUCCUCCCCUGGUCACUACCACACCACUGAAAAUGAGGGGGUCUUGGCGGUGCGAAGCUACACUUCUAGCCACGAUCUUGUGGGGACUGGCUGGGAUGAAAAAUUUGAUGAAAAGGAAACUUGGGACUCCGGAGGACCAAGAUGGAGCGAGACGGUCAAUACUGAUGGACUUGCAGCUAGCACCAUGGCAGCCCUGCCUGGUCUAAGGAAGCUGGCAGGAGGCGAUGGUACCUGGCGGGGGCAGACUGCCCACCUCCCCACUCCUUCAGAGGACUGUUUCCUGCCCUUCACACCAUCAUCAUGUUGGGCCCUGCAUGUAUGUUCCUGCACUUGGAGCGAGCCCAGGGACACAGGGCAGACACUGGGCUCACAGAUGUUGCUGCAGCUGAGCCAGAAAACAUUCCAGGCAGGAAAAGCAGGUGCACACAUUCACACAGGCCUCUGGUCACUCGACCAGCCAGAAUGAGACGGACUCCUUGACCUGGGAAGUCAAGUCCCAGUGGGAAGGGCUGGAAAUCACACGUGGUCAACUUCUUGGCUCUCUCUGCUCCCCAAACCCUGGCCCUAGGCUUGCUUUAUCAUCACAUCCCAAGGCCAGAGGGCUGCUGCUGUCCCCAUCUUGGCCCUGCUAGAAGAGGGAUAGGGGUGGCUGGCAUGAUGGGUGAGGGGAACAUGAGAAUAUGCAGAGGCCUUGGAGGAAGAGGACUGGCAGUUAUGACAGGAAGGCUCUCUAUACCUGGCUCCCCAGUGUUCUGCCCCUGGCACUGAGCAUGAGGAGCCAGGCUUUGGGGAGACUUUGCAAUCACCCCCCCAACCUGGUCCAUUUUCCACAGGUAGCUUUCUUGAACUCACCUUGACCCCUCCUCAGCCAGCAGCCCCCACCUCCAGGGGCAAAGGAGCUGAAAGACAGUCCUGAACUGGGGGGAGCUGGGAUCACAUCAGCCAGGCCCUGUCCCUCACAGGAAGUGAGAUGAGGUGAUACCAUGGAUGGUGACUAAGGCCCCAAAGUCCCUGCCUCUCUGCCUCCCCAGAAACCUCACAGCCAGGCCAGCCCCCAGAGCAGAGCCUGUGUAAACAUGCCCAGGAGGGGAGGAGGGGUUGCUACAUAUGAGAAACAGUUAAAAAUAAAUUUAAAAAGCACCACUA
This 1843-nucleotide long non-coding RNA is filed under the name Homo sapiens (human). RNAcentral describes it as "non-protein coding VASH1-AS1:14". Lineage: Eukaryota; Metazoa; Chordata; Mammalia; Primates; Hominidae. The record is from RNAcentral.